This 376-nucleotide ribosomal RNA is filed under the name uncultured eukaryote. RNAcentral's name for it is "partial 18S ribosomal RNA". It matches the Rfam family "Eukaryotic small subunit ribosomal RNA", at positions 592 to 975 of the family's 1831-position model. The record is from RNAcentral.
UAAUAGCGUAUAUUAAUGUUGUUGCAGUUAAAAAGCUCGUAGUUGGAUUUUGGUGUUUGACAAAUGGUCUGCCUUUCGGUGUGCACUGUUUGUUGGCACUUCUUUUCUGGGGAACUCACUGCUCUUAAUUGAGGGGUGCUGUAACGCAGAUCGUUUACUUUGAAAAAAUUAGAGUGUUCAAAGCAGGCCAACGCAUUGAAUACAUUAGCAUGGAAUAAUGGAAUAGGACUUUGGUCUUAUUUUGUUGGUUUCUAAGGCCGAGGUAAUGAUUAAUAGGGAUAGUUGGGGGCGUUUAUAUUCCGUUGUCAGAGGUGAAAUUCUUGGAUUUACGGAAGAUAAACUACUGCGAAAGCAUUCGCCAAGGAUGUUUNCAUUA